CCCCAAUCAAUGGGUUCCUCCAACCAGUGGGUGCCCAAACCAGUGGAUAACCCCAGACCAGUUGAUGCCUCCAAGCAGUCAGUGCCCCAAAAGAGUGGUUGAACCCAACCAGUGGAUUCCCCAAAACCAGUGUUUGCCCCCAAUCAGUGGGUUCCUCCAACCGUUGGGUGCCCCCAAUCAAUGGGUUCCUCCAACCAGUGGGUGCCCAAACCAGUGGAUAACCCCAGACCAGUUGAUGCCUCCAAGCAGUCAGUGCCCCAAAAGAGUGGUUGAACCCAACCAGUGGGUUCCCCAAACCAGUGUUUGCCCCCAAUCAGUGGGUUCCUCCAACCAGUGGAUGACCCCAAACCAGUGGGUCCCUCCAACUAUUGGGUGACGCAAACCAGUGGAUGACCCCAAACUAUUGGGUGCCCCACGCCAGUAGUUGCCCCCAACCAGUGAGUGCCUCCAACCACUGGUUGCCCCAAACCAGUGGGUGCUCCCAACCAAUGGUUGCCCCCAACCUGGGGUCCCUUGUCCUCCACGAUGCCCCAGGAAGCCCUGGUAGCCAUCUGGCCACUGUGGCAUCCUGGUGGAGUAGAAGGUCAGCGUUACCGGGUGCCGCCGAUGCCGUAGGGUCGCGGGAAGAUUCGCUCGUCGGUGUCGCUGCCGCGCAAAUCGACGGUGCCGUGGCAGCGCUACGCGGAGGAGGCGGCGGUGGCCCAGGGCGAGCUCUACGCCAUCCACCCCCUGGAGAAGGUGACCACCCUGGGUGGGUGGGUAGGUGGGUGUUAGCCAAAACCACCGAGGUGGCCCCGUUGGCCGUGUCCCACUUGUCACACCCCAUCUUGGUCCUUCUCCAGCACGGGCGGUUGAUCGAGGGGUUGAGGAAGGAGGUGGGGGAGAACCAGGAGAAGAUUCGGUUGAUGGAGAUGAAGGUCGGGGAGAUGGAGGAGCAGCACCGGGAGCAGCUGGAGAGGCUCCGGAAGCAGCUGGAGGAGGCCAACGCCCGGGCGGCAAAUUUGGGGGCCAGGUUGACGGCGGCCGAGGGCACCAGGAAGAAGGAUCUGGAGAGGCUGAAGAGCAGCGAGGAGAAGAACCGGGAGCUGGUAAGAGUUGGGACCUGGGUGCACCCAUGGGUGACAGGAGGGACCCGGGUGGGAUCUGACGGGGUUCCCCUCGCAGGAGAGACGGCUGUCGGCGCUGGAGAGGGAGCAGGCGGAGCUGCGGGGUGCCAUGGCCCAAACCCUGGGCCACCCUGGCAGGACGGGACGGCGGAUGGUGGCACGGGGCUGGGACGAGAGCGGUGACGACGCUCAGGCCACCAGCGUGUGACCGGCUUGUCCCCAACAUGUCCCCAGUGUCACCCCACCAUCUCCUGGGUCUUUCCCAAGGGGUGUCACCUUCCCCUGGCAAUAAACAGUGUUGGUGUCACCGUCA
This 1419-nucleotide long non-coding RNA is filed under the name Calidris pugnax (ruff). Its description in RNAcentral is "lncRNA (ENSCPUG00000003907.1)". The record is from RNAcentral. Lineage: Eukaryota; Metazoa; Chordata; Aves; Charadriiformes; Scolopacidae.